ACUCGAGUGGCGAACGGGUGAGUAACACGUGGGUGAUCUGCCCUGCACUUCGGGAUAAGCUUGGGAAACUGGGUCUAAUACCGGAUAGGAGCCAUCUUUAGUGUGGUGGUUGGAAAGUUUUUUCGGUGUAGGAUGAGCUCGCGGCCUAUCAGCUUGUUGGUGGGGUAAUGGCCUACCAAGGCGGCGACGGGUAGCCGGCCUGAGAGGGUGACCGGCCACAUUGGGACUGAGAUACGGCCCAG
This 242-nucleotide ribosomal RNA is filed under the name uncultured Actinomycetales bacterium. RNAcentral's name for it is "partial 16S ribosomal RNA". It matches the Rfam family "Bacterial small subunit ribosomal RNA", at positions 89 to 334 of the family's 1533-position model. The record is from RNAcentral. Lineage: Bacteria; Bacillati; Actinomycetota; Actinomycetes; Actinomycetales.